Molecule: non-coding RNA, 73 nt
Organism: Mycena floridula
Lineage: Eukaryota; Fungi; Basidiomycota; Agaricomycetes; Agaricales; Mycenaceae
Source: the annotation of a GenBank genome assembly
GCGACGAUGGUGUAAUGGUAGCACAUCCGACUGAACAAUGCGGAUGGCUCCGGUUCGAUUCUAGGUCGUCGCC